GACGAACGCUGGCGGCGUGCCUAAUACAUGCAAGUAGAACGCACAGUUUAUACCGUAGCUUGCUACACCAUAAACUGUGAGUUGCGAACGGGUGAGUAACGCGUAGGUAACCUGCCUGGUAGCGGGGGAUAACUAUUGGAAACGAUAGCUAAUACCGCAUAAUAUUGAUUAUUGCAUGAUAAUUGAUUGAAAGAUGCUAUUGCAUCACUACCAGAUGGACCUGCGUUGUAUUAGCUAGUAGGUGAGGUAACGGCUCACCUAGGCGACGAUACAGAGCCGACCUGAGAGGGUGAUCGGCCACACUGGGACUGAGACACGGCCCAGACUCCUACGGGAGGCAGCAGUAGGGAAUCUUCGGCAAUGGACGAAAGUCUGACCGAGCAACGCCGCGUGAGUGAAGAAGGUUUUCGGAUCGUAAAGCUCUGUUGUAAGAGAAGAACGGGUGUGAGAGUGGAAAGUUCACACUGUGACGGUAUCUUACCAGAAAGAGACGGCUAACUACGUG
This 505-nucleotide ribosomal RNA is filed under the name uncultured bacterium. Its description in RNAcentral is "partial 16S ribosomal RNA". It matches the Rfam family "Bacterial small subunit ribosomal RNA", at positions 28 to 507 of the family's 1533-position model. The record is from RNAcentral.